This 90-nucleotide transfer RNA is filed under the name Mycoplasmopsis bovis. Its description in RNAcentral is "Mycoplasma bovis tRNA-OTHER". It matches the Rfam family "tRNA". Rfam says of the family: Transfer RNA (tRNA) molecules are approximately 80 nucleotides in length. Their secondary structure includes four short double-helical elements and three loops (D, anti-codon, and T loops). Further hydrogen bonds mediate the characteristic L-shaped molecular structure. tRNAs have two regions of fundamental functional importance: the anti-codon, which is responsible for specific mRNA codon recognition, and the 3' end, to which the tRNAs corresponding amino acid is attached (by aminoacyl-tRNA synthetases). tRNAs cope with the degeneracy of the genetic code in two manners: having more than one tRNA (with a specific anti-codon) for a particular amino acid; and 'wobble' base-pairing, i.e. permitting non-standard base-pairing at the 3rd anti-codon position. The record is from RNAcentral. Lineage: Bacteria; Bacillati; Mycoplasmatota; Mycoplasmoidales; Metamycoplasmataceae.
GGAGGGGUAGCGAAGCUUGCCAAACGCGUGGUGGUCUGUAACCCACUUUCUCAACUGGUUCGGGGGUUCGAAUUCCCUCCCCCUCCACCA